This is an unclassified non-coding RNA of Pongo abelii (Sumatran orangutan), 116 nucleotides long. It matches the Rfam family "Metazoan signal recognition particle RNA". Rfam says of the family: The signal recognition particle (SRP) is a universally conserved ribonucleoprotein. It is involved in the co-translational targeting of proteins to membranes. The record is from Ensembl. NCBI's taxonomy places the organism in Eukaryota, Metazoa, Chordata, Mammalia, Primates, Hominidae.
GCCAGGUGUGGUGGCUCACGCCUGUAAUCCCAAUUCUUUGGGAGGCCGAGGCAGGUGGAUCACCUGAGGUCAGGAGUUCGAGAACAGCCUGGCCAACAUGGUGAAACCUGUCUCUA